Molecule: non-coding RNA, 105 nt
Filed under: unclassified sequences
Description: NiCo sequence
Rfam family: NiCo (Nickel/Cobalt) riboswitch aptamer
Source: RNAcentral
AACAAACAAACUGAGCAGGCCACGGGUUCUUUUUUUGAAGCUUGUGGGGCCGGGUUGCCUUCGCGCAACAACAGAUCGUGAUCGUUCACCUUCUGUGGGACAGGN